RNAcentral lists this ribosomal RNA (374 nucleotides) under uncultured organism. Its description in RNAcentral is "bacterial SSU rRNA". It matches the Rfam family "Bacterial small subunit ribosomal RNA", at positions 526 to 896 of the family's 1533-position model. The record is from RNAcentral.
CGGGGGGAGCAAGCGUUGCUCGGAUUUACUGGGCGUAAAGGGCGCGUAGGCGGCCAGCACAAGUCAGUUGUGAAAUCUCCGGGCUUAACUCGGAAAGGUCAACUGAUACUGUGCGGCUAGAGUGCGGAAGGGGCAACUGGAAUUCUCGGUGUAGCGGUGAAAUGCGUAGAUAUCGAGAGGAACACCUGCGGCGAAGGCGGGUUGCUGGGCCGACACUGACGCUGAUGCGCGAAAGCCAGGGGAGCGAACGGGAUUAGAUACCCCGGUAGUCCUGGCCUUAAACGAUGGAUGCUUGGUGUCUGGAGUUUUAUAGUCUCCGGGUGUCGCAGCUAACGCGUUAAGCAUCCCGCCUGGGGAGUACGGUCGCAAGACUG